UCUGUCUGGUUGGAGCGAUUCUGGGAUCGCGCUAGUGUGCUGACAUGGUCGGCGGCUUGACCGGGAAUCUUGCCUUCCUGGAGCUUUCCCGUUGUGGUGGCAUUGGAUAUAUGGGGUCGGGAGCUACAGGACAGUCGGUUGUUAUUCACUGUUAGCCAGCUCUCAGUCCCCCUUUUCUCUUUUGGUACUUCCCCUGCUCCAGCGCCUGGUGCUACGGUGCCUGUGUCUUCAUGUGUCGUAUAGGUCCUGUUCCUCUUGGGCCAAGGUACUCCA
Non-coding RNA from Pelobates cultripes (western spadefoot toad), 273 nucleotides. The record is from the annotation of a GenBank genome assembly. Lineage: Eukaryota; Metazoa; Chordata; Amphibia; Anura; Pelobatidae.